UACGAAGGGGGCUAGCGUUGCUCGGAAUUACUGGGCGUAAAGCGCACGUAGGCGGAUUGUUAAGUCGGGGGUGAAAUCCUGGAGCUCAACUCCAGAACUGCCUUCGAUACUGGCGAUCUCGAGUUCGGGAGAGGUGAGUGGAACUGCGAGUGUAGAGGUGAAAUUCGUAGAUAUUCGCAAGAACACCAGUGGCGAAGGCGGCUCACUGGCCCGAUACUGACGCUGAGGGGCGAAAGCGUGGGGAGCGAACAGG
Molecule: ribosomal RNA, 253 nt
Filed under: uncultured bacterium
Lineage: Bacteria
Description: partial 16S ribosomal RNA
Rfam family: Bacterial small subunit ribosomal RNA
Source: RNAcentral